GGUCGCUUAGCUCAGUUGGUUAGAGCGUGGUGCUAAUAGUUUACAACCUUGAUACGCCAAGGUCGCGAGUUCGACCCUCGUAGUGACCA
This 89-nucleotide transfer RNA is filed under the name Didymella exigua CBS 183.55. It matches the Rfam family "tRNA". From Rfam's summary of the family: Transfer RNA (tRNA) molecules are approximately 80 nucleotides in length. The record is from Rfam by way of RNAcentral. Lineage: Eukaryota; Fungi; Ascomycota; Dothideomycetes; Pleosporales; Didymellaceae.